AGCUUAUUUCCCAAACCUUACCCAUUACCUGCAAGGAGGGCUGAGUGCAUUUCUUCCUUGAACUUAGAAGUGAUCCCUUGGACCUUUGAGGGGAGGCCCUUUCAAGGAAGACUUUGAUCCAGCGUAAGGGGAGGUGAUUCAACGGGUGCAUAGAAAUCGCCACAAAGACAGCAGUUUUUAUAGUAGUAUUUUUGGAAAAGAAAGGUUUCAUACAGUAUGGGAAGCGCCCAGCCCAUCUGGACCUCUCCCUCCCCCGAGACCCACCUGUGAACCAGGCGUUGAGGACAGUGCCAUGCCCUCCCGAGAAGCCCCGGCUGUGCCCGUGGUCCAGCUGGGGACAUCAACAAGUAAAGGGUCAACUGCAAACCCACAGGCUCUGGCAGCCACACCCCUCGCGGGGAUAAGGGCAUAUUUGGACCGUGUGCAUCCCAGCAGGGCCGGGACCUGACAUUGCACCGCCCCACCUCACCCCCACCGCUGGAAGCUGUCUCCACAAACACUCGGCCCAUGAGGACAGACACCUCCAGGCAAGAGGCAAAUGAUCACCCAAGAAGGCAGGCCUCCACUGGUCUCGUCAGUCCGCCUGGAAGGAGGAAGGGGAAGAGGAGCUCCAGCCGGGCAUCUGUCCGCAUGGCUGGUCACUCCUGUGCCCGGACCCUGACAGUGCUUCUAUCUGCCCCGUGGACAAGGCCAGGGUCUUAAGUGUCAGCCCUAGAGGCCCUGCUGCUCCCUGCAGCCUGUGCUCUGACUGGGCCUUCUGACCAGGCACGCACAGCUGCCCGUCUCUCUUCCAGCCCCAGCUCCCUGUCUACGCUGCCGUCCACACCACCCACCCCUCCCGAUCCCCUCGCCCUGAACUAUUUUUGUUUCCUAUCACAUUUACCACCUCCUAACAUGGCAUGUAAUUUA
Hyaena hyaena (striped hyena) is the source of this 909-nucleotide long non-coding RNA. RefSeq lists it as uncharacterized. NCBI's taxonomy places the organism in Eukaryota, Metazoa, Chordata, Mammalia, Carnivora, Hyaenidae. The record is from RefSeq and is a predicted model, not a curated record. The transcript has 3 exons.